Molecule: ribosomal RNA, 467 nt
Filed under: uncultured bacterium
Lineage: Bacteria
Description: partial 16S ribosomal RNA
Rfam family: Bacterial small subunit ribosomal RNA
Source: RNAcentral
GACGAACGCUGGCGGCGUGCUUAACACAUGCAAGUCGAACGGAAAGGCCCUGCUCUUGUGGGGUGCUCGAGUGGCGAACGGGUGAGUAACACGUGAGUAACCUGCCCUUGACUUUGGGGUAACUCCAGGAAACUGGGGCUAAUACCGGAUAGGAGCUUCUGCUGCAUGGUGGGGGUUGGAAAGUUUCGGCGGUUGGGGAUGGACUCGCGGCUUAUCAGCUUGUUGGUGGGGUAGUGGGUUACCAAGGCUUUGACGGGUAGCCGGCCUGAGAGGGUGACCGGCCACAUAGGAACUGAGGUACGGCCCAGACUCCUACGGGGGGCAGCAGGGGGAAAUAUUGCACAAGGGGGGAAGCCUGAUGCAGCAACGCCGCGUGCUGGAUGACGGCCUUCGGGUUGUAAACCGCUUUCGCCUGUGACGCAGCGUGAGUGACGGUAAUGGGUAAAGAAGCACCGGCUAACUACGUG